Molecule: ribosomal RNA, 209 nt
Filed under: uncultured bacterium
Lineage: Bacteria
Description: partial 16S ribosomal RNA
Rfam family: Bacterial small subunit ribosomal RNA
Source: RNAcentral
UGCGCAGGCGGCUCCUUAAGUCAGAUGUGAAAGCCCCGGGCUUAACCUGGAAACUGCGUUUGAAACUGGGGAGCUAGAGUGUAGAAGAGGGGGGUGGGAAUUCCAGGUGUAGCAGUGAAAUGCGUAGAGAUCUGGAGGAACACCGAUGGCGAAGGCAGCCCCCUCGGGCUAACACUGACGCUCAUGCACGAAAGCGUGGGGAGCAAACA